Molecule: transfer RNA, 66 nt
Filed under: Embothrium coccineum
Lineage: Eukaryota; Viridiplantae; Streptophyta; Magnoliopsida; Proteales; Proteaceae
Also listed under: 1 other name
Description: partial transfer RNA-Leu
Source: RNAcentral
GUAGACGCUACGGACUUAAAUCCGUCGACUUUAGAAAUCGUGAGGGUUCAAGUCCCUCUAUCCCCA